Long non-coding RNA from Daphnia magna, 446 nucleotides. RefSeq lists it as uncharacterized. The record is from RefSeq and is a predicted model, not a curated record. The transcript is spliced from 2 exons. NCBI's taxonomy places the organism in Eukaryota, Metazoa, Arthropoda, Branchiopoda, Diplostraca, Daphniidae.
CUAUUUAUGUAAUAUAUAUAUAUAUGUACAUGCAGUGUAUAUACGUAAGCGUAGUUACUUGCAGCAGCAGCCGUACGAAAUGAAGUGAAUUAUCGUAACGCUCCUCCGUGGAGAAAUACGUCAUCCAUCACGGGCCAAGAUUGGGUUGAUAAAAUAUGCUGAUGAGUGUAUACGCGCGGCUGCUUCGAACAUUUUUGUCUUCCCGUUGCUUCACGAAAAGUCAGGCUAAUGAUUCUCAGCGCGGGGUCUUUUCUUUCUCUCGAGAUAUACCUAUAGAUACUGCAACACUCUCUAUUGCUGCUGUCGGCCUCGUUUAUUUCAACAAAAAAAAACAUUUCUGCCAACCAGCAAUGCAGAAAGUUUAUUUUCAAAUUGUCAAGACUGCCUUAUAUAUUUUUUCUGCCAACGCAACUAUGUGUUUAUCAAUAUAUAGUAUACAUAGUCUU